This 1204-nucleotide ribosomal RNA is filed under the name Escherichia coli. RNAcentral's name for it is "partial 23S ribosomal RNA". It matches the Rfam family "Bacterial large subunit ribosomal RNA", at positions 1 to 1238 of the family's 2925-position model. Lineage: Bacteria; Pseudomonadati; Pseudomonadota; Gammaproteobacteria; Enterobacterales; Enterobacteriaceae. The record is from RNAcentral.
GGGUUGUGAGGUUAAGCGACUAAGCGUACAUGGUGGAUGCCCUGGCAGUCAGAGGCGAUGAAGGACGUGCUAAUCUGCGAUAAGCGUCGGUGAGGUGAUAUGAACCGUUAUAACCGGCGAUUUCCGAAUGGGGAAACCCAGUGUGUUUCGACACACUAUCAUUAACUGAAUCCAUAGGUUAAUGAGGCGAACCGGGGGAACUGAAACAUCUAAGUACCCCGAGGAAAAGAAAUCAACCGAGAUUCCCCCAGUAGCGGCGAGCGAACGGGGAGGAGCCCAGAGCCUGAAUCAGUGUGUGUGUUAGUGGAAGCGUCUGGAAAGGCGCGCGAUACAGGGUGACAGCCCCGUACACAAAAAUGCACAUAUUGUGAGCUCGAUGAGUAGGGCGGGACACGUGGUAUCCUGUCUGAAUAUGGGGGGACCAUCCUCCAAGGCUAAAUACUCCUGACUGACCGAUAGUGAACCAGUACCGUGAGGGAAAGGCGAAAAGAACCCCGGCGAGGGGAGUGAAAAAGAACCUGAAACCGUGUACGUACAAGCAGUGGGAGCCUCUUAAUGGGGUGACUGCGUACCUUUUGUAUAAUGGGUCAGCGACUUAUAUUCUGUAGCAAGGUUAACCGAAUAGGGGAGCCGAAGGGAAACCGAGUCUUAACUGGGCGUUAAGUUGCAGGGUAUAGACCCGAAACCCGGUGAUCUAGCCAUGGGCAGGUUGAAGGUUGGGUAACACUAACUGGAGGACCGAACCGACUAAUGUUGAAAAAUUAGCGGAUGACUUGUGGCUGGGGGUGAAAGGCCAAUCAAACCGGGAGAUAGCUGGUUCUCCCCGAAAGCUAUUUAGGUAGCGCCUCGUGAAUUCAUCUCCGGGGGUAGAGCACUGUUUCGGCAAGGGGGUCAUCCCGACUUACCAACCCGAUGCAAACUGCGAAUACCGGAGAAUGUUAUCACGGGAGACACACGGCGGGUGCUAACGUCCGUCGUGAAGAGGGAAACAACCCAGACCGCCAGCUAAGGUCCCAAAGUCAUGGUUAAGUGGGAAACGAUGUGGGAAGGCCCAGACAGCCAGGAUGUUGGCUUAGAAGCAGCCAUCAUUUAAAGAAAGCGUAAUAGCUCACUGGUCGAGUCGGCCUGCGCGGAAGAUGUAACGGGGCUAAACCAUGCACCGAAGCUGCGGCAGCGACACUAUGUGUUGUUGGGUAGGGGAGCG